This 356-nucleotide ribosomal RNA is filed under the name Aeromonas hydrophila. RNAcentral's name for it is "bacterial SSU rRNA". It matches the Rfam family "Bacterial small subunit ribosomal RNA", at positions 73 to 434 of the family's 1533-position model. The record is from RNAcentral. Lineage: Bacteria; Pseudomonadati; Pseudomonadota; Gammaproteobacteria; Aeromonadales; Aeromonadaceae.
CUUGCUACUUUUGCCGGCGAGCGGCGGACGGGUGAGUAAUGCCUGGGAAAUUGCCCAGUCGAGGGGGAUAACAGUUGGAAACGACUGCUAAUACCGCAUACGCCCUACGGGGGAAAGCAGGGGACCUUCGGGCCUUGCGCGAUUGGAUAUGCCCAGGUGGGAUUAGCUAGUUGGUGAGGUAAUGGCUCACCAAGGCGACGAUCCCUAGCUGGUCUGAGAGGAUGAUCAGCCACACUGGAACUGAGACACGGUCCAGACUCCUACGGGAGGCAGCAGUGGGGAAUAUUGCACAAUGGGGGAAACCCUGAUGCAGCCAUGCCGCGUGUGUGAAGAAGGCCUUCGGGUUGUAAAGCACU